GCACCACUCAAGAGACUCUCCUGAAAGAAAGAGAGCUUUGUAAGCCAAAAGUGCUGAGGCUUGGAUUCUGCGUGGCUUGAGAUCCAAGCCUCUUCCAUCAAGUCCAGAGACACGAAGCGGAAUCUUUCCCUUCUAUUAAUCAAGUCACCUCACAAAUGAUCAGCAGCUCUAUAUCUACCAGAGGGGCUCAGUUUUCUUGUCUGUAGUACAAGCUACCAUCACCAGUUCCAGGAAGGAGAAACUGCACAGCGAAGGAAUAGGUGAGUGAACAAUGGCUGGCCAGUACCUCCACCCUGGGAAGGGUUCCUGCCAGGGUUGACAAAAUCUCACCACCACCACCACACCCACCCACCAGAAGGAAAAAUAUGUUGAAAAUAAAGAACAACCAUUAUACUUGAGUGGUUAGGGAAGGCUGAAGUAGUGAUAUACACCUACAGCAUACAAUGAUGUCCAACAAG
Long non-coding RNA from Elgaria multicarinata webbii, 458 nucleotides. RefSeq lists it as uncharacterized. The record is from RefSeq and is a predicted model, not a curated record. NCBI's taxonomy places the organism in Eukaryota, Metazoa, Chordata, Lepidosauria, Squamata, Anguidae. The transcript has 3 exons.